UAAGCUGUAUGCUCAGGUGAAGCAGA
This 26-nucleotide non-coding RNA is filed under the name Cricetulus griseus (Chinese hamster). The record is from RNAcentral. Lineage: Eukaryota; Metazoa; Chordata; Mammalia; Rodentia; Cricetidae.